GGAGCACGCCGCGUGAGUGAUGAAGGCUUUCGGGUCGUAAAACUCUGUUGUUAGGGAAGAACAAGUGCUAGUUGAAUAAGCUGGCACCUUGACGGUACCUAACCAGAAAGCCACGGCUAACUACGUGCCAGCAGCCGCGGUAAUACGUAGGUGGCAAGCGUUAUCCGGAAUUAUUGGGCGUAAAGCGCGCGCAGGUGGUUUCUUAAGUCUGAUGUGAAAGCCCACGGCUCAACCGUGGAGGGUCAUUGGAAACUGGGAGACUUGAGUGCAGAAGAGGAAAGUGGAAUUCCAUGUGUAGCGGUGAAAUGCGUAGAGAUAUGGAGGAACACCAGUGGCGAAGGCGACUUUCUGGUCUGUAACUGACA
Molecule: ribosomal RNA, 365 nt
Filed under: Bacillus cereus
Lineage: Bacteria; Bacillati; Bacillota; Bacilli; Caryophanales; Bacillaceae
Description: bacterial SSU rRNA
Rfam family: Bacterial small subunit ribosomal RNA
Source: RNAcentral